UACGUAGGGUGCAAGCGUUGUCCGGAAUUAUUGGGCGUAAAGAGCUCGUAGGCGGUUUGUCACGUCUGCUGUGAAAACUGGAGGCUCAACCUCCAGCUUGCAGUGGGUACGGGCAGACUAGAGUGCGGUAGGGGAGAUUGGAAUUCCUGGUGUAGCGGUGGAAUGCGCAGAUAUCAGGAGGAACACCGAUGGCGAAGGCAGAUCUCUGGGCCGUAACUGACGCUGAGGAGCGAAAGCGUGGGGAGCGAACAGG
Molecule: ribosomal RNA, 253 nt
Filed under: uncultured bacterium
Lineage: Bacteria
Description: partial 16S ribosomal RNA
Rfam family: Bacterial small subunit ribosomal RNA
Source: RNAcentral